CAACAAACAUGGGAAGUAAGGAUUAUUAAUUCUAUUGCACAGAUAAGGAAACUAAAGUUGAGAGGUUAUCUUGCCCAAGAUUGUAAGGUUCAUAAGUGACAAAGAUAAUUUGAACUCAGUUCUCUCGGGUUCCAAAAGCCAUGUCUUUAAUCACUAUGAUGCUAAACUGCUUUCACUAAAAUUGUUUGUUUUCUUUACUCUCCUUCCAAUAAUGAAAGAAUUGUCCAAACUCAGUAUUUAUCAGCACAUGGUGUGAGUGGCUGGCCUUGGUUCUGCUGUCUGCCCAGCAUCCCACACAGUGACCAUAAUAUCUGUUGUGAUUGCUGUGACUGGUUGACAGUGGGGCUCAUGGGGAGCAGUCAGACAGCAACUUUUUUUUUUUAUCUCCACUGUAUCCCUCAAAUGUAUUCUGUGAAGGAAUUUCCCCUGCCCCUGGAUGAAAACUUAGAUAGUUCCAAGACUUUUGUGAUCACAGUUAGAUAAUUUUAAAAAAUCAUAGUGUCUUUUAAAGUCACCAAACUCAGUCUCAAUUAAAAAUGCCCUGUCAUGUAAUAACUGAAAUGCUAAACUUAAUUUAAAGUCAAAUAUUCUCCCCUCCCCCAGCUACUAUACACACAUACCAGAAACUCUAAUAUGACUCCCAGAGAGGCAUGCCCCUAUUUUCUCAGAUAAGAAUCAAUCAUUAAACGAAAGAUUUGAUCCUUACAUUUUUAUGAUCUUCAUGCUUGCAGACCAUGAAAUCAUUUUAUAACUCUCCUGUUAUCUACAAGAACAUGUUUUAUAGCUAUUUUUAUUACUUUACAAUUUCAAGUCUUCUUGGUUCUCUUUCAUUCUUUUUGCAAACAUUCUCAGAGUACAAGCGGCACUGUCUUGGACACCCAAAUUGUACAGGUAAAUUAAAGCAAUGUAGUGGAGUGGCCAGCAGAUGGAGACAAAGUACACAAAAUCAUUCAGGCUCAGGGGCAGCAGCACCUGGAUCUCAGGUUGCUCUCAUUCGAACCCGGUUCUCAAACCUGGCUGCACAUUGGAAUCACCUGGGGAACAUUAAAGACUACAGAUGCACCAGCUGACGCCCAGAUUCUGCCUUAGGUGGUCUGAGGCGUGGUCUGAGAGCACUGGGAGACUUAAAAGCCUCACAAGUGAAUCUAAUUACAGUCAAGUUUGAGCUCCACUAUUUUAGAAAAUGAAACAACAGGUCACAGGAUGGUGUGUUUCAGAAUCACCUGGAAAACUUGUGGAAAACUGUAGACCCAAGAUGUUGUAGUCUUCAAUUGUUUGAAAACCAGUGCAUCCUGAAAUGAUGCCAGUGGUCUGGAUUGCCUUUGCCAAGAAGACAGCAAGACAGUGAAGAAUGAUUGCAAAUUGUUUGUUUUGUUUUAUUUUCAAAAAGAAGGACAAUACAAGUUUCCUUGACAGGGUCCCUAUGGAGAGGUGUUACCAUUUACUGAGAACCCUCCAGGUGCCAGGCACCUGUUGGCUCAGCUCGUUUUCACAACCGGAAGAGUUUUUUUCAAAUGUCAGACACAGAAAGACAUGGUACCCAAGGAUGCAGGAAUCUUCCAGCUGUGAGGGAGAGCCAAGAAGCCAGAACAUUCUGCUCAAGAGGAGAUUACAGCAGGGCCAUCACAGGAGGUUGUCCAAGUUGCUCACUGCACAAGGAGCUCAGCUGAAAGAGGCAGGGGGCGGUAUUGCUCGGGGCUUCCUUAGCAGAUGCCUGACUUCAGAGCUCUGGAACUGUACUGGCCGCAGUGAGGAGAUGGCUGCACCCACAACCAACUGCUGCACGCAACUCCAACGUGACAGGGAAGGGCCUUUUACUCAAUAUUAAAACAGUAAAAGCAAUCCCUCCAGAGAGGCCUGCACAUCAUGUUUCAAUUCCAUCAUUUUGGGAUUUAGAGUGGGGGUCACAGUUAGGAUCAAUAGAGGGAGGCGUGUGGGAUGGGGGGUGUGGUGGGUGGCAGAUCCUCGAAAACCUGCCCACAGCUCUGACUUCCCUGGGCUUCCACUCAGUGGCUCGGGCUAUAGGAACAACCCCCUCACUGCCCGGCUCCGUGUCUACCCUCCUACGACCUGCCAUCACCCCCCCACACACACACUUCUCCCGCACACUCAGUCAAUGGGCCUUGGCUGGCUUGGCGCCCUCUUAGCUUUCUAAAGGGCUGGCUGUUGCACAGACAGUUUUCUAAGACAAGUAAAUAUGCCGGGAGAGAACAGGAGAGUCCUUGGCACAUGUUCCUACUCUGGACCAGGAAUCAUAGGAAAUCUGAGAUUUCCAGCUUCUGCACCAAGCUGCAGACCCAGGCAUCUUCCAAGUAAUGUCCUGUGCCACAGUUCAGUGCCACCCCACCGAAGCCUGAACUAUCUUGUCUGCUGUCCAGUUAUAAAUUAAUCUCUCAUCAUCACUGAUUAACUUCUUCAAGCCACAGGAGUUGCUGAACCAAAACAGCCCCUUGGGGUGAAAGACUCUCCAGCGCUGUGUGCUGCAUAUAUCUAGCCCUUGUGCUGUGUCAGCAGGGGUGCGGGUGCAGCCAGGCCAGGGGUCCUGCUCAGGGCACUGUGCUCUGGAAUGUUCUCUGGGUUCCUCGAGGUGGGGAUCCGCACUGCAAAGGUCUAGGGCUGUUUGGAGGAUUUGUUUUCUUUGCUGUGUUUGUCUGCCAGGAAGAUUUUGAAAACCUCCUGGGGUGGGGUGGAGCUUAUUCUCUGGGGCCUGUGUCACCCGAAUACAACAGCGUGGGUAUGUGAAUUAUAUUCUGAUAAAUAGAAAUAAGUAAAUACUAACUAAUGUGUGCCUUCAAAGGAGCCCAGUGUAUUAGGGGAGAUGACUGCAGUCUGGGCCUCUCCCCUGUGGGAGAAAGGGGAGCCAAACUUUGGAAUUCACUAGGGAUCAAGGGGACUGGGAGUCACCACUUAGAGCAUAAAUCCAUCCCACUGGGCAAAGGCCUCAGAGGUCAUCUGUUCCAACUUCCUACCUCUACAGGGGUCAAGAAAGGGAACUUGACUCACCCAAGGUCACACCGUAGACCCAAUGGGGAGAAAGGGAACAAAUAUCAAGUCAUUUUUACACGUCAGAUAGACUUCUUUCUUCAGUUGCAUGAAGAUAUGCCCCUUGCAAGUUUCUUUGGAUAAAAGACCCAGGGAAUCCUUUCACCCACCACUUCUACCAUAAGAGGGCCUCAAAAUGAGGUCUCUCUGAUUUUUCCCAAUAACCCUGGCAUAUUUGGUCUCACUUCCUGGUUCCAGGGCACCUCGCAGCAAUUUAAAACUAGCACCUUCCUUCGACUCUGUGGCCUUCCCCCCAAAACCCAUAAACCAAGUGUAGCUGUAGAAAAACCCAAAUUGCAUGACAGUCUCCAAAAUACCAAGCCAGUACUUCUCAAAACUUUCAAGGUCAUCAAAAACAAAAUUGAGACACUGUCGCAGACCAGAGAAGGCUAAGGAGACAGGAGGGCUACAUGUAAUGUGACAUGGAGUCCUGGAGCAGGAAAAGGACCGGAGGAAACUAGUGAAAUCUGAAUAAAGUGUGGAGUCAAUUGUCACGCACUGGGUCCUUAGUUACGACAAAUGCUACAUAGUAAUACAGUAUCUUAACAAGAGAGAAAACAGCACAAGGGCUAUGUGGAAAUGCUCCAGACUAUCUUUGCAACUUUUCUGUAAAGCGAAAAUUAUUUUCAAAUAAAACAUUCAUUUAAAACUUUAAAAAA
Long non-coding RNA from Choloepus didactylus (southern two-toed sloth), 3701 nucleotides. RefSeq lists it as uncharacterized. The record is from RefSeq and is a predicted model, not a curated record. NCBI's taxonomy places the organism in Eukaryota, Metazoa, Chordata, Mammalia, Pilosa, Megalonychidae. The transcript has 5 exons.